GAUGAACGCUGGCGGCGUGCUUAACACAUGCAAGUCGAACGAGAAGUGGAGACGGAAACCUUCGGGCGGAAGACUUUACUUCGAGUGGCGGACGGGUGAGUAACGCGUGGGUAACCUGCCUCAUACAGGGGGAUAACAGUUGGAAACGACUGUUAAUACCGCAUAAGACCACAGCACCGCAUGGUGCGGGGGUAAAAACUCCGGUGGUAUGAGAUGGACCCGCGUUCGAUUAGCCAGUUGGCGGGGUAACGGCCCACCAAAGCGACGAUCGAUAGCCGAUCUGAGAGGAUGACCGGCCACAUUGGGACUGAGACGCGGCCCAAACUCCUACGGGAGGCAGCAGUGGGGAAUAUUGCACAAUGGGGGAAACCCUGAUGCAGCGACGCCGCGUGAGUGAAGAAGUAUUUCGGUAUGUAAAGCUCUAUCAGCAGGGAAGAAAAUGACAGUACCUGAGUAAGAAGCCCCGGCUAACUACGUG
This 478-nucleotide ribosomal RNA is filed under the name uncultured bacterium. Its description in RNAcentral is "partial 16S ribosomal RNA". It matches the Rfam family "Bacterial small subunit ribosomal RNA", at positions 28 to 507 of the family's 1533-position model. The record is from RNAcentral.